AGCAGUGUGGGCUAGUGGAUAAGGCAUGGCCUGCAAAUCCAAAGGACCUGAGUUCUAAUCCCAGCUCUGCCA
This 72-nucleotide transfer RNA is filed under the name Ornithorhynchus anatinus (platypus). It matches the Rfam family "tRNA". Rfam says of the family: Transfer RNA (tRNA) molecules are approximately 80 nucleotides in length. Their secondary structure includes four short double-helical elements and three loops (D, anti-codon, and T loops). Lineage: Eukaryota; Metazoa; Chordata; Mammalia; Monotremata; Ornithorhynchidae. The record is from Rfam by way of RNAcentral.